AAUCAACGCUGGCGGCGUGCCUCAGACAUGCAAGUCGAACGCUGCUGUUCGCCUUCGGGUGGACAGCGGAGUGGCGCACGGGUGAGUAACACGUAGGUAAUCUACCUUUGGGUGGGGAAUAACAGCCGGAAACGGCUGCUAAUACCGCAUAAUGCAGCGGCAUCACAUGAUGACAGUUGUUAAAGCGAGGGAUCGUAAGACCUCGCGCCCGAAGAGGAGCCUGCGGCAGAUUAGGUAGUUGGUGAGGUAAUGGCUCACCAAGCCUGCGAUCUGUAACCGGCCUGAGAGGGCGGUCGGUCAC
Molecule: ribosomal RNA, 301 nt
Filed under: uncultured bacterium
Lineage: Bacteria
Description: bacterial SSU rRNA
Rfam family: Bacterial small subunit ribosomal RNA
Source: RNAcentral